Lasiosphaeria hispida is the source of this 89-nucleotide non-coding RNA. The record is from the annotation of a GenBank genome assembly. NCBI's taxonomy places the organism in Eukaryota, Fungi, Ascomycota, Sordariomycetes, Sordariales, Lasiosphaeriaceae.
GGGAUUAUAGUAUAGUGGUCAGUAUAUCUCAUUGUGGUCAUAUAACUCCGGACUCUGAGACGACGCAGGUUCGAUUCCUGCUAAUCCCA